CUGAGUGACUGAGAAUUGGCGUACCAAUUUAGGGGUUAUCCGAAAUUGAAUCCAAAACCCGGUUCUGAAGAAUCGGGUCGAUAGUGAGAGUAGGUAAGAAAGUCUUCCAAGU
RNAcentral lists this small RNA (112 nucleotides) under Arabidopsis thaliana (thale cress). RNAcentral's name for it is "ATSL246050". The record is from RNAcentral. Lineage: Eukaryota; Viridiplantae; Streptophyta; Magnoliopsida; Brassicales; Brassicaceae.